Molecule: transfer RNA, 71 nt
Filed under: Paramoeba aparasomata
Lineage: Eukaryota; Discosea; Flabellinia; Dactylopodida; Paramoebidae
Description: tRNA-Ile
Rfam family: tRNA
About the family: Transfer RNA (tRNA) molecules are approximately 80 nucleotides in length. Their secondary structure includes four short double-helical elements and three loops (D, anti-codon, and T loops). Further hydrogen bonds mediate the characteristic L-shaped molecular structure. tRNAs have two regions of fundamental functional importance: the anti-codon, which is responsible for specific mRNA codon recognition, and the 3' end, to which the tRNAs corresponding amino acid is attached (by aminoacyl-tRNA synthetases). tRNAs cope with the degeneracy of the genetic code in two manners: having more than one tRNA (with a specific anti-codon) for a particular amino acid; and 'wobble' base-pairing, i.e. permitting non-standard base-pairing at the 3rd anti-codon position.
Source: RNAcentral
UUCCCCGUAAUUUAAUGGUAAAAUUUACAUCUGAUAAGUGUGGUAUGGUAGUUCGAUUCUAUCCGGGGGUA